Molecule: long non-coding RNA, 534 nt
Filed under: Homo sapiens (human)
Lineage: Eukaryota; Metazoa; Chordata; Mammalia; Primates; Hominidae
Description: non-protein coding lnc-ZNF727-3:1
Source: RNAcentral
CAAGAAUUUUAUUCAUGCAUAUGCUUAAUUUGCUGAAAAUAUGUGAGCCUCCCAUGAAAGAUUUAUACUUUUAUUGUGUCAUCUUCUGCUGAGAAGUGGCUGUCCUGCCAGAAAACUGCUAUUCUCAAUUGUCCUCACACUGACUCUGCUCAACAUAGUGACUGGAAGUGAUGUGUGCAUAAAAAGCAAAUGUGUCUUCUUUGCAUCUUUUUUCAUCUCUUACCUGUGUUUUGGGCCCAGAUAUACAUCACAAUUUGAAGUCUGGGCAGGAACCAGGAAGAAAAAUCAUAUCAUCUAGGUGUCCCCUGUGGGAGAGGUCCAGGUAGGAGAGUAACAUCUUCUUGGUGCUGAGCCAAGUGAAAUGUUCCAAUGCCCUCUGUGGGCAGGGCCCAGGCAGAAGAGUAGAGUCACAUCACCUAGAUGCUGAGUUCACCAACAUGUAAAAAUAUCCCCUUAGGGCAAGGCUCAUGCAGGAGUGUCACGUCAUCCAGGUGUUUGGUCCAGGCAUAUGUCAUAAUCCCUCCUGAAGGCAGC